AUUGCCUUUAGUCCAAGUGGGAGAUAUUAAAAAAUAUAUCCUAAAAUUAAUCAUCUAGGUUAUAAAUGAUUGUGCUCCAUAUAUGUAUAUGAAUUAUAAAAUGAUAAAUAUUAUUUGGUAGAUUCAUCAUAAGGAAUACAUCUUUCAAAAUAGAACUCAUAUAUUAUGAUGAAGUCCUUAGAGCAACUUCCAAAAUGAUAAAAGAGGAUUUAUCGUGUGGUUCUUAAAUUC
Molecule: long non-coding RNA, 231 nt
Filed under: Elaeis guineensis (African oil palm)
Lineage: Eukaryota; Viridiplantae; Streptophyta; Magnoliopsida; Arecales; Arecaceae
Description: long non-coding RNA (EGUI_LNC074009)
Source: RNAcentral